RNAcentral lists this ribosomal RNA (369 nucleotides) under uncultured soil bacterium. RNAcentral describes it as "bacterial SSU rRNA". It matches the Rfam family "Bacterial small subunit ribosomal RNA", at positions 27 to 391 of the family's 1533-position model. The record is from RNAcentral.
GGGAUGAACGCUGGCGGCGUGCUUAACACAUGCAAGUCGAACGGUGAAGCCCAGCUUGCUGGGUGGAUCAGUGGCGAACGGGUGAGGUAACACGUGAGCAACCUGCCCCUGACUCUGGGAUAAGCGCUGGAAACGGUGUCUAAUACUGGAUACGAACAGUGACCGCAUGGUCAGUUGUUGGAAAGAUUUAUUGGUUGGGGAUGGGCUCGCGGCCUAUCAGCUUGUUGGUGAGGUAAUGGCUCACCAAGGCGUCGACGGGUAGCCGGCCUGAGAGGGUGACCGGCCACACUGGGACUGAGACGACGGCCCAGACCUCCGUACGGGGGAGCCGAGCAGGUGGGGAAUAGUUGCAACGAAGUUCGGGGGACG